This 239-nucleotide ribosomal RNA is filed under the name uncultured bacterium. RNAcentral describes it as "partial 16S ribosomal RNA". It matches the Rfam family "Bacterial small subunit ribosomal RNA", at positions 524 to 763 of the family's 1533-position model. The record is from RNAcentral.
UACGGGGGGGGCAAGCGUUGUUCGGAAUUACUGGGCGUAAAGGGCUCGUAGGCGGCCAACUAAGUCAGACGUGAAAUCCCUCGGCUUAACCGGGGAACUGCGUCUGAUACUGGAUGGCUUGAGUUUGGGAGAGGGAUGCGGAAUUCCAGGUGUAGCGGUGAAAUGCGUAGAUAUCUGGAGGAACACCGGUGGCGAAGGCGGCGAUCCUGGACCAACACUGACGCUGAGGACGAAGCCAG